Long non-coding RNA from Ipomoea nil (Japanese morning glory), 302 nucleotides. RefSeq lists it as uncharacterized. The transcript has 2 exons. Lineage: Eukaryota; Viridiplantae; Streptophyta; Magnoliopsida; Solanales; Convolvulaceae. The record is from RefSeq and is a predicted model, not a curated record.
UAGUAUAAAAUGUGUAACAAAGCAUUUGACAUGACAAAAUACCCUAGUUUGAAAAUAAGUUUAAAAUUACCUUAAUUUGGGAAAUAAGUUUUGAAAGUACUCCAGUUUGGGAGAAAACAAAAACUCAUAGUAAGAGAGACUUCUCAAUCCUGUGUAAAGUAAGUAAACAUAGAUCAAAUCGCCCCAAGAACCGUAAACUUUUUGGCGACAAAUAUUGCAUACUCAAACAAUGGGGACAAAAAUUACUCCAUAGGUAUCAUGAAUCAUUGAAUAUUCUUCUCACCGGUAUGCUGGGGAACACA